UACAAAAUAGAAAAGGUACAUUAAUAUACCUUUUAUUUGGAUUUAAAUGAUAAUUUUUCAUGUAAAGAAAACUAAAAAUGUUCGUGAAGAAGUUUGAUAAUUUUAGGUUUUAUGUGAGGCCGCUUUGUGAACUACAGCUCUUCGCUGCACUCGACGCAUAUGAUAUACGUCACCACACCCGCCCUUGGAACUCGGCACAGAGAUGGCGAUCUCCCUGCCCCACUUCACCGCUUUUUCCAAGGGGAGGAUAAAAGCAUCGAAAGAGGUGAAAACCAUUAUAAAUCGGAGCACGUGCAGAGUUUCAGUUAUGCCGAUGGGAAGAUUGUCGGUCUUCUCCACGCCAGUCGCAGGGAGCGUGACGUCACAUACGAGCCGUGUAGUCUUUCUCGUUGUGUUUUCUCUACAGCCUUUAUCUGAACAAUUCCAAAAUAAACGGUCAAACUCUUUGCAUGAAUAAUUAUCAUUUAAAUCCACAAACAACAUAUGUGUAAUCCAGGGCAUAUAAAGACCGGGACCAGAAAAUAAUUAUUUUCUCUCCAUUGACACCCAUUCAUAUUUUUCGAUCUCAUAGGUCCCAUGAGCCCUACCGGAAGGGGCGUGACUUCGCCACUCUUGUGUUCACCUGUGUCGCCCCGCACGCGCGGCAAUGCAUUAUUUUGCGAUGAUCCCAAACGCUUAAAAUGGUCCCGCGGUUGCUUGUUUUUUUUUUGUGCGUUUUUGACUGAACAAUCCGGACAACGUGGCCACCAACGGAGGAGCGAGGAACCCCGCAUGUUUUCUACAGUGUGUUCCUGAAGGGACUGAGGCGACGCAUUCGGAGGUCCAUGCGAUGGCGGUCAGCGGGAGGUGUCAGGACCAACCAGCUCCUCGUCCAGGAAAGGGGAAUUCAUCAGACCGAUUAAAGGUCACGAUGGAAGAGCAGAUGGCUGUGCAGUUGCCAUGGUGGAGAGAUCCAGAGUACGAUGACCGAACAGUUGAUCUACAACGAUGGCCUACUCCCCAUCCACCCUGAGGAUCCCUAGCUACACCUACAAUCCAAUCUACACCAGACAUAACCACUCGGAGCUCAACAACUCCUACAACUCCUCCUGCCUCCUACACACCAUACUGUUACCACUUUACCAUUUUAACUUUAAAACAAAGUACUGUAAUUCACACCAUGUUGUAGGAAAAGCAUGUUUAGCUCAAUGAUUUAUACAUUCUAUUUCUGUGGCCCCAACUAUUGUAUUUCUAACCCAGUUACCUCUGAACCCUCUUUCUAAGGGAGCGACUAAAGGGACAAAGCUGGAGCUAACCUGAGCUUAACAAUCUUUCUAAUCUUUCUUUCAAAUGUCCUAUAUUGAAUCACAUAAAAUGCCUAAAGUAACUUGUCUAACAAAACAAAAAGCCAACCUAAUACCCAAACUUAACCAUCUAACUAAAGAUCUCAAAUGCCUAAACUCUUACCUUAACCUAGUACCUAAACUGAACCAUCUAACUAAACAUCUCAAAGGCAUAAACUCGCUUACCUCAACCUAACCUAAUACCCAAACUUAACCAUCUAACUGAAGAGCUCAAACGCCUAAACUCUUACCUUAACCUAGUACCUAAACUGAACCAUCUAACUAAACAUCUCUAAUACCUAAACUCUUUCCUAAUACCUAAAUAAUCUUUAAUACAAUCACUAAUGCCUAAACUUAACCAAACACCAAUAAUAAAAGUUAACCAUCCUUAAUCUUAAACCCAAACCAGACUUGUCCCUGGGUCGCUCCACUUUGUGUCUUUGAAGGCAUCUCUUUUCCCCCACAUCUGUGUUUUAUUCCUUGAGGACUCCAAGUACUUCAGAUGAUAUUUGAAAACUUGUUUCAUUAAUAAAGAUACUUCAUCUUUACAGAUUUUGUUUUGGGGAAUUGGGACAGUUGAGCAGCUUAAGCAUCCUUACUGGUGAACCUGAUCUGACGAUAUCAAUUUUAGGACUAUGAAGCCAAUAACAUAAGGCCGGAUAUGUGAAAAGACAAGGUAGACAAUGACCGAGGAGUCAACAAGGAGUUGAUUGGUAAACAUCUAACAUGGAACAAAAUGCCUAUUUAUUGAUCUGCUACCAGGCUAUCGCAGUAGGGGAAUCUGAAGGAGUACCCUACACUGUUGCAGGGGUUCUUGCUAGUUUGCAUUACGGCUGAGGCCAUUCAUUACGAUUG
Molecule: long non-coding RNA, 2177 nt
Organism: Gadus chalcogrammus (walleye pollock)
Lineage: Eukaryota; Metazoa; Chordata; Actinopteri; Gadiformes; Gadidae
Exons: 4
Source: RefSeq, a predicted model, not a curated record